Molecule: long non-coding RNA, 1004 nt
Filed under: Equus caballus (horse)
Lineage: Eukaryota; Metazoa; Chordata; Mammalia; Perissodactyla; Equidae
Description: lncRNA (ENSECAG00000057386.1)
Source: RNAcentral
ACCCGGCUGUGGACCCUAGGAGAGUCGAGGAAAGUCUUCCUUCUCCUACACUUUAUCCGGGGCAUCGAUUCCUUACCUUCUAUGCCUGGCUGUCUCCUCUACCACAUGCUUCAUCCUCAGGAUGAGAACUGCUUUAUGAAAACCAGAAGGCUGGAAAGUCUGGAGCCCAGGUUUGCAGGUUUGGAUCCCAGGUGUGGACCUAUACCACUCGUCAACCGUGCUGUGACACCAAUCCACAUACAAAGUGGAGGAGGAGAAGGAUUGGCACAGAUGUUAGCUCAGGGCUACUCACCUCAACCCAAAAAAAAAAGAACUAAAUUGACAUGAGACAGAAUAACACAAGAAAAUAAAACAAAGUUUAAUAACGUAUACACGGGAGAAACCCAGGAAAACUGAGUAAUUCAUCAAAAUGGCAGAAGCCACCACCUUAAAUACCAUCUUUAGUUAAAGACAAAGGAGGAUGUUGGGGGUAGUGGUUUGGGACUUCAAAGAGGAGAAAGGCAAUUCACAUGGAGAUGGAAAAGCAAAUGUUUGAUAAACAAAUGUUUGCUGGGCCAUCUAUAGACAAUGGGACCCAACAGAGAACUUUGAUAAAAAAUAGGCCUUGCUAGGUGCCUUCCUGCCCACCACACCUAGAGUUAUCUAUGGUGAUAGCUCCUUCCUGGCACAGCCCUUCUAUCUUAAAUUCUUUUAGGCAGUUAGAGGGGGAGGGUCAAAGUUUCUGUCUGAGUCUUUUAUUCUUAAAAACAGUCAAGCAAGAGACAUUUUGUGGUGGCAAAUACUGAUCCCCCACAAUCUCAAGGAAAAGAAGGGGCCAAUUUGCAAAAAGGCCCAGAACUUUCUGGAGUUCAGGGAUGCUGAGGUGGCUUAUUAGAAAGCAGGUCAGGACCACCAACAGGAGCCCACCUCCAGGGAGGCAGCACUGGAUGUGACCUGGGGUCAAUAAGAAACCAUGAUGCUGUGAGGGCUUGCCUGAGUCUGCCAUCUCUUGGCUUCCUCAUCUG